Molecule: ribosomal RNA, 253 nt
Filed under: uncultured bacterium
Lineage: Bacteria
Description: partial 16S ribosomal RNA
Rfam family: Bacterial small subunit ribosomal RNA
Source: RNAcentral
UACGGGGGGUGCAAGCGUUAUUCGGAAUUACUGGGCGUAAAGGGCGCGCAGGCUGUCUCUUAAGUCAGAUGUGAAAGCCCGGGGCUCAACCCCGGAAGUGCAUUUGAAACUAAGGGACUUGAGUAUGGGAGAGGGAAGUGGAAUUCCUGGUGUAGCGGUGAAAUGCGUAGAUAUCAGGAGGAACACCGGUGGCGAAGGCGACUUCCUGGACCAAUACUGACGCUGAGACGCGAAAGCGUGGGGAGCAAACAGG